UACGAAGGGUGCAAGCGUUAAUCGGAAUUACUGGGCGUAAAGGGUGCGUAGGCGGUUCGUUAAGUCUGUCGUGAAAUCCCCGGGCUCAACCUGGGAAUGGCGAUGGAUACUGGCGAGCUAGAGUGUGUCAGAGGAUGGUGGAAUUCCCGGUGUAGCGGUGAAAUGCGUGGAGAUCGGGAGGAACAUCAGUGGCGAAGGCGGCCAUCUGGGACAACACUGACGCUGAAGCACGAAAGCGUGGGGAGCAAACAGG
This 253-nucleotide ribosomal RNA is filed under the name uncultured bacterium. Its description in RNAcentral is "partial 16S ribosomal RNA". It matches the Rfam family "Bacterial small subunit ribosomal RNA", at positions 524 to 776 of the family's 1533-position model. The record is from RNAcentral.